UACGUAGGCAGCAAGCGUUGUUCGGAGUUACUGGGCGUAAAGGGUGUGUAGGCGGUCUUCUAAGUUUGGUGUGAAAUCUCCCGGCUUAACUGGGAGGGUGCGCCGAAGACUGGAAGGCUUGAGUAUGGGAGAGGUAAGCGGAAUUCCUGGUGUAGCGGUGAAAUGCGUAGAUAUCAGGAGGAACACCUGCGGUGUAGACGGCUUACUGGACCAUAACUGACGCUGAGGCACGAAAGCGUGGGUAGCAAACAGG
Molecule: ribosomal RNA, 253 nt
Filed under: uncultured bacterium
Lineage: Bacteria
Description: partial 16S ribosomal RNA
Rfam family: Bacterial small subunit ribosomal RNA
Source: RNAcentral